UACGUAGGGUCCAAGCGUUGUUCGGAAUCACUGGGCGUAAAGCGCACGUAGGCGGAUUUUUAAGUCAGGGGUGAAAUCCCGGGGCUCAACCUCGGAACUGCCUUUGAUACUGGAGAUCUUGAGUCCGGAAGAGGUAAGUGGAACUGCGAGUGUAGAGGUGAAAUUCGUAGAUAUUCGCAAGAACACCAGUGGCGAAGGCGGCUUACUGGUCCGGAACUGACGCUGAGGUGCGAAAGCGUGGGGAGCAAACAGG
This 253-nucleotide ribosomal RNA is filed under the name uncultured bacterium. Its description in RNAcentral is "partial 16S ribosomal RNA". It matches the Rfam family "Bacterial small subunit ribosomal RNA", at positions 524 to 776 of the family's 1533-position model. The record is from RNAcentral.